RNAcentral lists this ribosomal RNA (253 nucleotides) under uncultured bacterium. RNAcentral describes it as "partial 16S ribosomal RNA". It matches the Rfam family "Bacterial small subunit ribosomal RNA", at positions 524 to 776 of the family's 1533-position model. The record is from RNAcentral.
UACAGAGGCCCCAAGCGUUACUGAGAAUCACUGGGUUUAAAGGGUGCGUAGGUGGUCCGUUAAGUCUAUUGUGAAAUCCCCGGGCUCAACCCGGGAACUGCUUUAGAUACUGGCGGACUUGAGGUCGGUAGGGGUCACUGGAACAGACGGUGGAGCGGUGAAAUGCGUAGAUAUCGUCUGGAACGCCGGUGGUGAAGACGGGUGACUUGGCCGAUUCUGACACUGAGGCACGAAAGCGUGGGGAGCGAACAGG